Molecule: ribosomal RNA, 497 nt
Filed under: uncultured bacterium
Lineage: Bacteria
Description: partial 16S ribosomal RNA
Rfam family: Bacterial small subunit ribosomal RNA
Source: RNAcentral
GACGAACGCUGGCGGCGUGCCUAAUACAUGCGAGUUGAGCGCUGAAGGUUGGUACUUGUACCAACUGGAUGAGCAGCGAACGGGUGAGUAACGCGUGGGGAAUCUGCCUUUGAGCGGGGGACAACAUUUGGAAACGAAUGCUAAUACCGCAUAAAAACUUUAAACACAAGUUUUAAGUUUGAAAGAUGCAAUUGCAUCACUCAAAGAUGAUCCCGCGUUGUAUUAGCUAGUUGGUGAGGUAAAGGCUCACCAAGGCGAUGAUACAUAGCCGACCUGAGAGGGUGAUCGGCCACAUUGGGACUGAGACACGGCCCAAACUCCUACGGGAGGCAGCAGUAGGGAAUCUUCGGCAAUGGACGAAAGUCUGACCGAGCAACGCCGCGUGAGUGAAGAAGGUUUUCGGAUCGUAAAACUCUGUUGGUGGAGAAGAACGUUGGUGAGAGUGGAAAGCUCAUCAAGUGACGGUAACUACCCAGAAAGGGACGGCUAACUACGUG